Molecule: long non-coding RNA, 407 nt
Filed under: Numida meleagris (helmeted guineafowl)
Lineage: Eukaryota; Metazoa; Chordata; Aves; Galliformes; Numididae
Description: lncRNA (ENSNMEG00000000443.1)
Source: RNAcentral
GACCCCAUUGGGAUGGAGGUGGGACCCCCAGCUGGGAUGGAGGUGAGACCCCAUUGGGAUGGAGGUGGGACCCCAUUGGGAUGGAGGUGGGACCCCCAUUGGGAUGAAAGUGGGACCCCCAUUGGGAUGGAGGUGGGAUCCCAUUGGGAUGGAGGUGGGACCCCCAGUUGGGAUGAAAGUGGGACCCCCAGUUGGGAUGGAGAUGGGGCCCCCUGGGUGGGACCCCUUCAUUGGGGUAGAGGUGGGACCCCAUUGGGAUGGGGACUGGGACCCCCCCGGUGGGACCCCUCCUUUGGGGUGGAGAUGGGACCCCCGCCCACCUCCACCAGUUUGUAGAGGAAGGAGAAGACCAUGGAGGCGUUGGCGUUCUUCUUGGUGACAGCCACCACUGCGUGCGGGGUCAAGGA